RNAcentral lists this ribosomal RNA (709 nucleotides) under uncultured bacterium. Its description in RNAcentral is "bacterial SSU rRNA". It matches the Rfam family "Bacterial small subunit ribosomal RNA", at positions 794 to 1501 of the family's 1533-position model. The record is from RNAcentral.
UCCUAGCUGUAAACGAUGGACACUAGGUGUUGGCCGUAUCGACCCGGUCAGUAUCGAAGCAAACGCGUUAAGUGUCCCGCCUGGGGAGUACGCACGCAAGUGUGAAACUCAAAGGAAUUGACGGGGGCCCGCACAAGCGGUGGAGUAUGUGGUUUAAUUCGAUGCAACGCGAAGAACCUUACCAGGGAUUGACAUCCUACGAAUCUUUCUGAAAGGAGAGAGUGCCUUCGGGAGCGUAGAGACAGGUGGUGCAUGGCUGUCGUCAGCUCGUGUCGUGAGAUGUUGGGUUAAGUCCCGCAACGAGCGCAACCCUCGUCCUUAGUUGCCAUCAUUAAGUUGGGCACUUUAAGGAGACUGCCGGUGACAAACCGGAGGAAGGUGGGGAUGACGUCAAGUCAUCAUGCCCCUUACAUCCUGGGCUACACACGUACUACAAUGCAACGGACAAAGGGCAGCCAACUAGCGAUAGUGCGCUAAUCCCAUAAACCGUUGCUCAGUUCAGAUUGCAGGCUGCAACUCGCCUGCAUGAAGGCGGAAUCGCUAGUAAUCGCAGGUCAGCAUACUGCGGUGAAUACGUUCCCGGGCCUUGUACACACCGCCCGUCACACCAUGGAAGUUGGCCACGCCCGAAGUCGUUACCCCAACCGUUUACGGAGGGGGACGCCGAAGGCAGGGCUGAUGACUGGGGUGAAGUCGUAACAAGGUAACC